GAUACGGCCAGCAAGGGAAGACAGUCCAGAUCCAUGAGCUUAGGCAAUGGAACCGUGAAUGUGGAACGAUAUAUGAAGUUGAAACUGAGUGUAUGUGGCAGCGGAAGAUCUGAUUGAAUGAAGAGUGAUUUAGUAGCAGCGGAGGUGUUUGGAUAAUGGUUGAAGCUGGUGAUUGAAGUGCUUAUGGUGGCAGGNGUACUAGCUCAGAAAGCCCUCUCUAGGAAGGAAGCUAGAGGAGAAGGAAAAGAAGCACAAAGGAAUUUGACUCUCGGUGGAGAGAAGACGCUGGAAAAUGCUUCAGCAUAUCUAUUCUCUCAAAUAUCCAAAAGUGUAGUUACAAACUAUGCCAAGAGGUUUUAUAGAUGAACCUCUCGGCCUCCACAAGGAAAAAUGCCUAUGCCAACUAAUCAACAUGUGCUAAAGGAGCUUGGCUUCUAGAAAGCCUUAGGAAUCACGUGACAAAUGAGUUUUAUACAUGUGGAGGAAAAACAAUUACUAAUGCAGCCCCUUAUGAGGAUAAGCACACCCCUCCUUUGUAGAAAUGUCCACUUUACCCCUCUCCAUGUUCUUGGGUUAUCCUUUAUUUGGUGGGCUUGGGCCCCGCGUAUCAAAAGAACUUCAGGUUGAGUGACCUUGUGGGAGGGAACACCAGACUCCCACACCUCUUUUUCAUCCCUAAGGACUACUCUUUUCUCUUUUUUUUUUUGACUUUGUUUUUUGUUGUUUUUCUUGUUCCCUAGUGGACUUCAUUUGUGCUUGAUCCUG
This 765-nucleotide long non-coding RNA is filed under the name Vigna radiata. Its description in RNAcentral is "long non-coding RNA (VRAD_LNC017411)". Lineage: Eukaryota; Viridiplantae; Streptophyta; Magnoliopsida; Fabales; Fabaceae. The record is from RNAcentral.